Long non-coding RNA from Leopardus geoffroyi (Geoffroy's cat), 785 nucleotides. RefSeq lists it as uncharacterized. The record is from RefSeq and is a predicted model, not a curated record. The transcript is spliced from 4 exons. NCBI's taxonomy places the organism in Eukaryota, Metazoa, Chordata, Mammalia, Carnivora, Felidae.
AUCCCGCGGAGCUGCGGCCGCCGCCGCGGGAGUCCCCUCAGUCGCUGCCGCCGCCCGGCCCUCGUACGGCCAGCCCAGUCCAGAGCGAGGAAGUGGAGGAGAGUCAGCGAAGUUCACAAUGGAAGAAAGAAUGGCCAUAGCUGUGCCCUUGGUGACUCUAGGUAGAUGCCAAUCCUACAUCUCCUCCAGGCCACUGUUGGUUGCACUUCUGUGUUUACUAUGCUCCUCUGAAAAACCAUGCUGCAGAAACUGUGAAGAUCUGUGAUUAAGGUAUUUUAGAACACGACUUUAGAAGCCAAUCUGAAAUCAUGGACAUUACUAAUGGAAGAUAAAUGUUCUAAUUGGUUAUAUGCAAGCAGGAAAAAUGGAGGGCAUUUACUGGAUUGCCUGGACUUUCUCAAAUAACUAAAAAAACUUAUUGAAAGCUUGUUUAGAAGUGAUUCAAAUAAUUCAAACUUUGAAAUGAUGUCACGUUCUAAAGAUGGUCCCAGGGUUCAGUAUGCCCUGCAAUCAGCACACCCCCAUCUGACUGCUGUGGGAGCAGCUGCAUUAUCUGCAUUUGGCCAAGUAAGCAAACUCUGCACCGUGUCACAGUGUUUGUUGUUUGCUAAUGGGCUAGUGGUUAAAAACUGCUUAAAAACUCUAAUUACACAUUUUCAGAUAAUGCAGAGGUGGCAUAUGGUUGGCUUCAUUACUUGAAGAUAUACACAUACAGACUUUACUUGUAUACUUUGUCUGGUGCAUAGUAGCUAUUCAAUAAAUGCUUUAUAAAUGCCUGAAAAUGA